UCAAGCUACUAAGGGCAUACGGUGGAUGCCUUGGCGUCAGGAGGCGAUGAAAGGCGUGGCUAGCUGCGAUAAGCGUCGGGGAGCCGCUAAGCAGGCUUUGAUCCGGCGAUUUCUGAAUGGGGAAACCCAUCCCGGGUAAUUCCGGGAUAUCCCGUCAUGAAUACAUAGUGGCGGGAGGCGAACGAGGGGAACUGAAACAUCUCAGUAUCCUCAGGAGAAGAAAGCAAAAGCGAUCCCCCUAGUAGUGGCGAGCGAACGGGGAACAGCCUAAACCGGGUAUAUGGAUAGUCCGUGAGCGUUGUAUAUCCGGGGUAAUGGGAUUCCGCCGGAGGAGGUUACGGACUCCUCGGGAAGUUACAAAUCUCACUUAUAGCCGAAUACUCUGGAAAGGGUAGCCAAAGGGGGUGAUAGCCCCGUAGGCGAAAUAGGUGAGACUUCUUGGACGGAAUUCCCGAGUACUACGGGACACGUGAAAUCCUGUGGGAAUUUGGGAGGACCAUCUCUUAAGGCUAAAUACUACCUGACGACCGAUAGUGAACCAGUACCGUGAGGGAAAGGUGAAAAGUACCCCCGGCGGGGAGUGAAAUAGUACCUGAAACCGUAUGCUUACAAGCAGUGGGAGCUCCAUGUACGUCUCUUCGGGGACGUGCGGAGUGACCGCGUACCUUUCGCAUAAUGGGUCAGCGAGUUACUCUGUGUAGCGAGGUUAAGCCGUUAGGCGAAGCCGUAGCGAAAGCGAGUCUGAAUAGGGCGUCUAGUUGCACGGAGUAGACCCGAAGCCAGGUGAUCUAUCCAUGGCCAGGGUGAAGCCUCGGUAACACGAGGUGGAGGCCCGAACCGACCGAGGUUGAAAACUCGGCGGAUGAGCUGUGGAUAGGGGUGAAAGGCCAAUCAAACCUGGAAAUAGCUGGUUCUCCCCGAAAUAUAUUGAGGUAUAGCCUCGCAAAGUAAGUGUCGGAGGUAGAGCACUGGAUGGGCUAGGGCCCUCACCAGGGUAUCAAACCCAACCAAACUUCGAAUGCCGGCAACUGUUAUUGCGGGAGUCAGACUGUGGGCGAUAAGGUUCAUGGUCAAAAGGGAAAGAACCCAGACCGCCAGCUAAGGUCCCUAAAAUGCACUAAGUGGUAAAGGAUGUGGAGUUGCACAGACAUCCAGGAAGUUGGCUUAGAAGCAGCCAUCCUUUAAAGAAAGCGUAAUAGCUCACUGGUCUAGUGACUCUGCGCCGAAAAUGUAACGGGGCUCAAGUGCAUUACCGAAGCUGCGGGUUGUUCGCUUCUUCGGAAGCGGGCAGCGGUAGGGGAGCAUUCCAGAAGCCUGCGAAGCCAGACCGCAAGGACUGGUGGAGGUAAUGGAAGUGAAUAUGCUGACAUGAGUAGCGAUAAUGCCGGCGAGAAACCGGCACGCCGUAAGCCUAAGGUUUCCUGGGGAAGGGUAAUCCGCCCAGGGUUAGUCGGUCCCUAAGCCGAGGCCGAAAGGCGUAGGUAAUGGGAAACGGGUUAAUAUUCCCGUACCACCGGCUCGGUGUUUGAGCGAUGGGGGGACGCAGGAAGGUAGAUCAUCCACCUACUGGAAUAGGUGGUUCAAGCCCGUAGGGGGAGGUCCCAGGCAAAUCCGGGAUCUCAUAAACCCUGAGAGGUGAUGACGAGGCCCUUAAAAGCCAUAAAGUGGUUGAUCCUACACUGCCAAGAAAAGCCUCUAGCGAAUCGAUCUGGUGACCGUACCGCAAACCGACUCAGGUAGGCGAGGAGAGAAUCCUCAGGCGCGUGAGAGACCCCUGGUUAAGGAACUCGGCAAUCUGGCACCGUAACUUCGGAAGAAGGUGUGCCCCGAUUGGUGAAGAGACUUGCUCUCUGAGCUGGGCGGGGUCGCAGUGACCAGGCCCAGGCGACUGUUUACUAAAAACACAGGACUCUGCAAACUUGCAAGAGGAAGUAUAGGGUCUGACGCCUGCCCGGUGCCGGAAGGUUAAGGAGAGGGGUUAUUCCGCUUCGGCGGGAGAAGCUCUGAACCGAAGCCCCGGUAAACGGCGGCCGUAACUAUAACGGUCCUAAGGUAGCGAAAUUCCUUGUCGGGUAAGUUCCGACCUGCACGAAUGGNGUAACGANUNNNNCANNGNCUCAGCGAAAUUGAACUAGCGGUGAAGAUGCCGUUUACCCGCGGCAAGACGGAAAGACCCCGUGCACCUUUACUAUACCUUGACAGUGAAUUCGGGGUUAGCUUGUGUAGGAUAGGUGGGAGGCUUUGAAGUGUGGGCGCCAGCUCACAUGGAGCCAACCUUGAAAUACCACCCUGGCUGUCUCUGGUUUCUAACCCGGUCCCGUUAUCCGGGACGGGGACACUGUCUGGCGGGUAGUUUGACUGGGGCGGUCGCCUCCCAAAAGGUAACGGAGGCGCGCAAUGGUUCCCUCAGGCUGAUUGGAAACCAGCUGUGGAGUGUAAAGGCACAAGGGAGCCUGACUGCGAGACCAACAAGUCGCCUGACUGCGAGACAAACAAGUCGAGCAGGGACGAAAGUCGGCCUUAGUGAUCCGGCGGUUCCGCAUGGAAGGGCCGUCGCUCAACGGAUAAAAGGUACNCCGGGGAUAACAGGCUUAUCUCCCCCAAGAGUUCACAUCGACGGGGAGGUUUGGCACCUCGAUGUCGGCUCAUCGCAUCCUGGGGCUGNAGAAGGUCCCAAGGGUUCGGCUGUUCGCCGAUUAAUAGCGGUACGCGAGCUGGGUUUAGAACGUCGUGAGACAGUUCGGUCCCUAUCUGCCGCGGGCGCAGGAUAUUUGAGGGGAGCUGUCCCUAGUACGAGAGGACCGGGAUGGACGAACCUCUGGUGUACCAGUUGUGGCGCCAGCCGCACCGCUGGGUAGCCAAGUUCGGAAGGGAUAACCGCUGAAGGCAUAUAAGCGGGAAGCCCCCCCCAAGAUGAGAUAUCCCUCCCUGAUGGCAACAUCAGGGGUAAGACCCCAGGGAGACCACCUGGUUGAUAGGCCGGAUGUGUAAGUCCAGUAAUGGACGCAGCUAACCGGUACUAAUCGGUCGAGCGGCUUGAUCUA
RNAcentral lists this ribosomal RNA (3044 nucleotides) under alkali sediment metagenome. RNAcentral's name for it is "bacterial LSU rRNA". It matches the Rfam family "Bacterial large subunit ribosomal RNA". The record is from RNAcentral.